Molecule: ribosomal RNA, 251 nt
Filed under: uncultured bacterium
Lineage: Bacteria
Description: partial 16S ribosomal RNA
Rfam family: Bacterial small subunit ribosomal RNA
Source: RNAcentral
GAUCCUGGCUCGGGAUGAACGCUAGCUACAGGCUUAACACAUGCAAGUCGAGGGGGCAGCGGGGAUUGAAGCUUGCUUCAAUUGCCGGCGACCGGCGCACGGGUGAGUAACGUGUAUCCAACCUUCCGUACACUCAGGGAUAGCCUUUCGAAAGAAAGNUUAAUAACCUGAUGGUAUCUUAAGCACACAUGUAAUUAAGAUUAAAGUAUUUAUCGGUGUACGAUGGGGAUGCGUUCCGAUUAGGUAGUAGG